UGUAGCAAAAUAUCGUCGACCGCCUGCCGAAUCCAAUCAGAUUCCAAGAUAGAGGGAAAAUCAGCUGUAAAAUUUGGCUUUUCAAAACCCGAAAUGGACGAGAAAACAGGAUCCGCUUCCGUAGCAUCUGCUAGAGAAGUGCUAGACACUAUAAGUCAGAUAUCGGAACUAUUGGAGACGGGGCUUGACCCUGAGACCUUGUCAAUCUGUGUUCAUCUCUGUGAGCAGGGAGUCAACCCCGAGGCCCUUGCAUCUGUUAUCAAGGAACUACGAAGAGAGAUGACAGCGUAUAAGGCAGCUGUGGAGCAAGGAUAAUACCCCAGACAUACCGUGUGAACAUGAACUGAGAUUGAACUGAAUGAGGGACAUUGUAUCUAUACCCAGGGCUGCUGUUAAUAUGGUGGACUGUGAAACAGUUUUGAUGCACAGUUGCCCAAGUGUUAGAUUACCGUGUGAACAUUAACUGAGAUUGAACUGAAUGAGGGACAUUGUAUCUAUACCCAGGGCUGCUGUUAAUAUGGUGGACUCUGAAACAGUUUGGAUGCACAGAUGUCUGUGUGUUAGAUUACCGUGUGAACUAGAACUGAUAUUGAACUGAAUGAGGGACUUUGUAUCCAGACCCAGGGCUGCUGUUAAUAUGGUGGACUGUGAAGGACAGUAGUUUGGAUACACAGAUGCCAAAGUGUUAGAUUACCAUGUGAACUUGAACUGGUGGGCGAUUGGUGUGGUAGAUGAUCCUAUGUGGCAUCCCUGUAAUACCAACCCCGGGUUGGUAUUCGUCCAUCUGCUAGAUCUGCAAGCCCAACAAAGCCUUUUCUGAGAUGUAUAUGAUCUACAUUUAUUUUGCCCCAUCUGGGCUCCGUAACACAAAGAUUAGCGAUCAAUCGCUAAAUGAACUGACCAAUCAUUAUCAACGUUACACGCGCA
This is a long non-coding RNA of Lytechinus variegatus (green sea urchin), 927 nucleotides long. RefSeq lists it as uncharacterized. The transcript has 3 exons. The record is from RefSeq and is a predicted model, not a curated record. NCBI's taxonomy places the organism in Eukaryota, Metazoa, Echinodermata, Echinoidea, Temnopleuroida, Toxopneustidae.